GUGAUGAGUCGCUCCACCGCGGCGCCGCAAGGCGACGAGGAAAGUCCGGGCAACACAGAGCACCCUGCUUCCUAACGGGAAGGACCGGGAAGUGUAACGCAACCCGGGACAGCCAGUGCCACAGAAAAUAACCGCCCAGUUUAGGACAUGGUGAUUAGGGCGUAGGGAAUAGGUGUUCUUGAACAACCUAAGCCCUAUCCACUAAGCACCAAGCCCUAAACUAGGUAAGGGUGAAAAGGUGCGGUAAGAGCGCACCAGCGGCUGGGCAACCAGUCCGGCUGGGUAAACCUCAGGGGUUGAAAAACCAAAUAAGCUGGCACGCGUCCUGCGCGGACGUACCGGGCGGCUCGUCCGGCGCCAGCGGGUAGGUUGAUGGAGCCUUUCCGCGAGGACUGGCCUAGAUAAAUGGUGGAGGCGCGACCUUUCGGGGCAGCGUACAAAACCCGGCUUACAGACUCAUCACCACG
RNAcentral lists this RNase P RNA (467 nucleotides) under Hymenobacter puniceus. Its description in RNAcentral is "RNase P RNA component class A". It matches the Rfam family "Bacterial RNase P class A". Rfam says of the family: Ribonuclease P (RNase P) is a ubiquitous endoribonuclease, found in archaea, bacteria and eukarya as well as chloroplasts and mitochondria. Lineage: Bacteria; Pseudomonadati; Bacteroidota; Cytophagia; Cytophagales; Hymenobacteraceae. The record is from RNAcentral.